Molecule: ribosomal RNA, 253 nt
Filed under: uncultured bacterium
Lineage: Bacteria
Description: partial 16S ribosomal RNA
Rfam family: Bacterial small subunit ribosomal RNA
Source: RNAcentral
UACGUAGGGGGCAAGCGUUGUCCGGAUUUAUUGGGCGUAAAGAGCGUGUAGGCGGCCUGAAAGGUCAGCUGUGAAAACUCGAGGCUCAACCUCGAGACGUCGGUUGAAACCAUCUGGCUAGAGUCCGGAAGAGGAGUGUGGAAUUCCCGGUGUAGCGGUGAAAUGCGCAGAUAUCGGGAAGAACACCCGUGGCGAAGGCGGCACUCUGGGACGGUACUGACGCUUAGACGCGAAAGCGUGGGGAGCGAACAGG